GAUGAAGAACGCAGCGAAAUGCGAUAAGUAAUGUGAAUUGCAGAAUUCAGUGAAUCAUCGAAUCUUUGAACGCACAUUGCGCCCGCCAGUAUUCUGGCGGGCAUGCCUGUUCGAGCGUCAUUUCAACCAUCAAGCCCCAGGCUUGUGUUGGAGCCCUGCGGCUGCCGCAGCCUCCCAAAACCAGUGGCGGGCUCGCUAUCACACCGAGUGCAGUAGUUUACUCUUCGCUCAGGGCGUGUGGCGGGUGCUAGCCGUGAAACCCCCAACUUCUCAAGGUUGACCUCGGAUCAGGUAGGGAUACCCGCUGAACUUAAGCAUAUCAAUAAGCGGAGGA
This 334-nucleotide unclassified non-coding RNA is filed under the name soil metagenome. RNAcentral's name for it is "partial contains 5.8S ribosomal RNA, internal transcribed spacer 2, and large subunit ribosomal RNA". The stretch from base 1 to 120 matches the Rfam family "5.8S ribosomal RNA", at positions 35 to 154 of the family's 154-position model. The record is from RNAcentral.